GGAAGUUGAUUUGACAUGAUUUCUAUACUCAGUUACAUCAGUUUUUCCAAAGAGGAUGUCAAAUUUGAAAGAAAAUGUUCACUUGAAUGUCUGCUUUCCCGCAAUCUUCCUACCCUAGUAAAUUGUUCCCGACUAUGCUUCCUUUGCCGGGUGGGGUAGGGAGAAGGAGAGUGAGGUGCUUAAGGCUUUCCUUUCCUUUCCUUUCCUUUCCUUUCCUUUCCUUUCCUUUCCUUUCCUUUCCUUUCCUUUCCUUUCCUUUCCUUUCCUUUCCUUUCCUUUCCUUUCCUUUCCUUUCCUUUCCUUUCCUUUCCUUUCCUUUCCUUUCCUUUCCUUUCCUUUCCUUUCCUUUCCUUUCCUUUCCUUUCCUUUCCUUUCCUUUCCUUUCCUUUCCUUUCCUUUCCUUUCCUUUCCUUUCCUUUCCUUUCCUUUCCUUUCCUUUCCUUUCCUUUCCUUUCCUUUCCUUUCCUUUCCUUUCCUUUCCUUUCCUUUCCUUUCCUUUCCUUUCCUUUCCUUUCCUUUCCUUUCCUUUCCUUUCCUUUCCUUUCCUUUCCUUUCCUUUCCUUUCCUUUCCUUUCCUUUCCUUUCCUUUCCUUUCCUUUCCUUUCCUUUCCUUUCCUUUCCUUUCCUUUCCUUUCCUUUCCUUUCCUUUCCUUUCCUUUCCUUUCCUUUCCUUUCCUUUCCUUUCCUUUCCUUUCCUUUCCUUUCCUUUCCUUUCCUUUCCUUUCCUUUCCUUUCCUUUCCUUUCCUUUCCUUUCCUUUCCUUUCCUUUCCUUUCCUUUCCUUUCCUUUCCUUUCCUUUCCUUUCCUUUCCUUUCCUUUCCUUUCCUUUCCUUUCCUUUCCUUUCCUUUCCUUUCCUUUCCUUUCCUUUCCUUUCCUUUCCUUUCCUUUCCUUUCCUUUCCUUUCCUUUCCUUUCCUUUCCUUUCCUUUCCUUUCCUUUUCUUUUUUUUUAGCUGUUUGAUAAUUCCUACCCUGUAAUGUCAUCAAACCAUAAUUUCCUGAAGAAUCAGGCCAUUUAUGCUUGUAAAUACAUUGCUUGUAAGUGAAAUUUCUUUUUUCACCAUUAACUAACCCAAUUGACACCGAAGUAAACGAAAGAGUUAUUUUUUCAGUCCAAAUUACUAUGUCAAUAAUUUUGUCAUAAACCCUACUCGAUCAAUACCCA
This 1164-nucleotide long non-coding RNA is filed under the name Felis catus (domestic cat). RNAcentral's name for it is "lncRNA (ENSFCAG00000048237.1)". The record is from RNAcentral. Lineage: Eukaryota; Metazoa; Chordata; Mammalia; Carnivora; Felidae.